CCAUCUGGUGCUUGCACCAGAGAAGACCUAGUGGCGAACGGGUGAGUAGCACGUGAGCAACCUGCCCCGAAGACUGGGAUAACACCGGGAAACCGGUGCUAAUACCGGAUACCCCCAUCUGAUCGCAUGUUCGGAUGAGGAAAUGGAUUCCGCUUCGGGAGGGGCUCGCGGCCUAUCAGCUAGUUGGUGGGGUAAUGGCCCACCAAGGCAUCGACGGGUAGCUGGUCUGAGAGGACGAUCAGCCACACUGGGACUGAGACACGGCCCAGACUCCUACGGGAGGCAGCAGUGGGGAAUCUUGCGCAAUGGGCGAAAGCCUGACGCAGCAACGCCGCGUGAGGGACGACGGUUUUCUGAAUUGUAAACCUCUUUCAGCAGGGACGAUAAUGACGGUACCUGCAGAAGAAGCACCGGCCAACUACGUGCCAGCAGCCGCGGUGAUACGUAGGGUGCGAGCGUUGUCCGGAUUUAUUGGGCGUAAAGAGCUCGUAGGCGGUUUGAUAAGUCGGAUGUGAAAUCCCCAGGCUCAACCUGGGGUCGCCAUUCGAUACUGUCAUGACUAGAGUCUGGUAGGGGAUCACGGAAUUCCUGGUGUAGCGGUGGAAUGCGCAGAUAUCAUGAGGAAACACCAGUAGCGAAGGCGGUGAUCUGGGCCAGUACUGACGCUG
This 668-nucleotide ribosomal RNA is filed under the name uncultured Actinomycetes bacterium. RNAcentral's name for it is "bacterial SSU rRNA". It matches the Rfam family "Bacterial small subunit ribosomal RNA", at positions 71 to 748 of the family's 1533-position model. The record is from RNAcentral. Lineage: Bacteria; Bacillati; Actinomycetota; Actinomycetes.